RNAcentral lists this unclassified non-coding RNA (229 nucleotides) under plant metagenome. RNAcentral describes it as "partial contains small subunit ribosomal RNA, internal transcribed spacer 1, and 5.8S ribosomal RNA". The record is from RNAcentral.
UCUCCGUAGGUGAACCUGCGGAGGGAUCAUUACAGAGUUUAUGCCUUACCGGGUAGAUCUCCCACCCUAUGUUAUUAUUACUUUGUUGCUUUGGCGGGCCGUUAGGCUCCGGCCCGACUACCGGCCCCGGCUGGUAAGCGCCCGCCAGAGGACCCAAAACCCUGAAUAUUAGUGUCGUCUGAGUACUAUAUAAUAGUUAAAACUUUCAACAACGGAUCUCUUGGUUCUG